Long non-coding RNA from Frankliniella occidentalis (western flower thrips), 483 nucleotides. RefSeq lists it as uncharacterized. Lineage: Eukaryota; Metazoa; Arthropoda; Insecta; Thysanoptera; Thripidae. The transcript has 3 exons. The record is from RefSeq and is a predicted model, not a curated record.
ACUGCGCGAGAAAAACUCAAACCGUGGCGCAGCUAGCGAUGACACGAUCAUGGUAUUGCAAUAGCAUAGGCCCGCCCGCCAAGCGUCUCUGUAGAGAUGGUGGCCUACCCUCAGCGCCUUGGCGGCGACGGCCCCUGCUCGCACCCUGCAACGAGACUACUACGCGCACGUGCAGUCAGCAUUGUUGUUGUUGUUUGCGGAAGGAUGGCUUUCGGCUGUUCGUGCGUGACUUCGCUGAGGAAGACCGUCCAAUAGUUGCGUCUGCGCUUGACAUCAGCUAAGCAGCCGUUAGCUGUCACCCAAUGUAUGCUGAGUUGGCGUCACAGCACACAGCAUGACUGAGAAACGGCCCCUUUUUAUCAUGAUCGCAGGAAUGAAUCUGGUAUUGAGAUUUGCCCCAAGUCACCAGCAGAAACAAGCCAGCUAAUUGAGCAAGAUGUACUCUCAUAAUGUAAAUGAUUUGAAACAAUAAAGAAUUCAAUU